GUUUUAAGCCAUCCAGUUUGUGGUGACUUGUUCCGGCAGCCCCAGGAAGCUAAUACCCUGGGGUGCGGGGUGGGAGGAGGGGUUGCCUGUCUGUGGGCUGCUGCACUCAGAGCCUCGUGUGAUCGGCUGCCUGGAGUCCUCCAUGCAGUGAAUGACCAUCAUGGCUGUGGGUUCAUCUUUAGGAGUGCCGCCAGCGUUUCUUGGCGAACAGCCAAUUCCAGGCACUCCACGUGGCCCUGGAGAAGCUACAGGAAUUUUGGAUGACAGGAUACCUGGGCUCUCCUGAUAGCAACAAGGGUGCAUGGGCGGGGCCAGAGGGAACAGGGCAGAGUUGCCCGAGCACCCCUGCGUUUAAGCCUGCAAGGAGCCGGGAUGAAGCUGUGGCUGUUCAUCUGCUUGGUGGCUGGGAUCACCUUGGUGACCUGCAGGCCUUCGGAGGAAGUGGCCCCUCACUUGCAGGGCACCUGGGCCUUCAACCCGCUGAGCCUGCAAAGACCCCCUGGAACCGCGGUGCGGGCUGCUGCGAGGGCAGAGGGACCUGGGAGCUGGACACCAGGGCCGCCCCCGGCGCGCAGAGCGGCGAGGACCCGGCAAGCACCGUCCUAAAAUCGCGUGGGUCGAGGCUGCCGUGAAGGCGUAGCCGAUGACAGCCAGGAGGUGGCAGCAGAGCCUUCUGCGGUGGCCGGGGCGCUAGCGCAGUAAACGGGGUGGAGACAGGCGAGAAGCCGCCAGGGGGCGACAGUCGCGAGCUGGGAGGAGGGAGGGGAGCACAGGACAGGCUGGUCACGGACACACCUGCGGCAGGUAGCCGGGGAGCCGGGAGGGCCCGGGCGGAGUCCACGAUGUUGCUCCCGGCUGCCACCUGGGACUGGAACCCAGCUUCAUCUGCCUCUUAGCGAGAGGGGCUUCCAGGACCCUGUCAUGAUUCACCAGGCUUCUGGAAUGCCGUGGGCAAAUACCCGGUGGUGUGGUAGAAAACGCCUGGGCCUGGAGUCCGGGGGCCUGGGUGUCACACCUUGCUGUUAACUUUACUGUCUGCUUCUCAGAAAGGCUCCAAGCAGGCUCAGCUCAGCCCUUGGCUCAGAAGGUUAAGUGCUGAGAGGCUGGUGUGGGAGCCGCCAGGCCGCCACCUGCGCGCCAGGCUCUCGGGAAGUUCUAGCUUUAGCUGAAGAGUUCUUAUGAGGGUUGAAUGUCCCCUCAUCACCUGUACAGAGGUAUGGAAAGUGCGGGAAGAUGUGCUGUGCUUUGGCUGUGGUUUGUUGGACCCUGGCUUUGGCUCUCAGCUCACGGGACAGGAGCCCUGGGGUCUGAGAUGCUAACGUAAGAGGGGUCCCUGCGGUCCUCCCGGCUCGUGGCCUGGGCCGGCCUCUCACCGUGUUUUCUUCUCACUGGGUUUCUUGGUCUGCUCUGUGUCGUCUUGUCUGGGUGGCUGUAUGGUGGCAGUCACAUUUACGCAGAUGCCCCCGUUGCCACAGUGGGUCUCUCCUCGCGUUCCCAGGAGGAUUCCUGUCUGCUGGAGUCCCCUCCACAGAGGCGUAAAACUUAGGGAUGCUUUGACACUUGGGAAGAAAGGAAGAAGGCAGCCUCCGGGCCCAGACCGCCCGGUGGGCACGCCCAAGGCUGGGGCUGGGGCUGGGGCAAGGGAAAUGGCGUUGCUCAGAGCAAGAGCCCCUUGCAGUGGGCACGCGGUUUAGGAGCAGAAUCAGGCAGGAUUUCAGGCUGCCCCUGCUCCCUAGGCCGACAGCCUCGGGGCAGCGCAUAACCUGCGUGUUAUUUGUGGAGCAUCCUGUGACUUAGAAACACUUCAGGUCACAAUUAGCACAACAGCCUGCUACUGCUGCGGAGCUGGAGUCUGAUGUCACUAACAGCAGUGCCGAAGCUCUUGGGCACUUUGCAACGUGUGUCUGUCUCCAGGGGAGCUCGUCUAGGGUAGAUCCCUCCUGGUUUGCCCAGAACUAGGUGUUCUCUGGAAAAGAGGAAGAUGUAGCUUCCCUCCACGUGGUGCUUAGCUGGGCAGGGGUGGGCUGAAGAAAAACUGCUCUAGCCCUGCGUGCUGCAGCAGGUUAGUUGCAGAGCUCUUUAAGUGUCACAUCCUUUGUCCCCCAAGUCCAGCGUAGUGCCCCAUGAUGGGCUGGGCUGGGUUCUGUCUUGGCCUUUGUGGUGUCUGGAAUGAAGCCUCAUUAUUGAGCUUUGGUAAAAAUACCCCACUGAGAGCUACCAAACCCCAAGUCCACAAAGACACGGUGGGGGGUGGGUGCCACCCAAAGGUUGCAUCUGAGGCCUCAAUCCUGUACCCCCAAAUGCCCCAUGACAAUCUGGGGAGGUGGUCAGAGGCUCGCUGUGGCUGCCGACACCCUGGCUCCCCUAUUUUCCCCAAAGGAAAUAAAGCAGUUGAAAUUAGUUGACAAGCAGUUCUUUAAAAAAGAAAACUGCACACAUUUGCUUUGGCCUGGGAUAAGGUAAGAAUCUAAUGUCAUGUGACAGCAGGUAAGCAUUUUAAUUUGCAUAUUUAGAUCUGUAGGACAUACACAUUUGUUUGCUACAGCUCAAUCUCGUUUCUGUCUGCAAGCCCUCCUGCUGCUUGGGUGGUAGGAAAUAAGACACCCCUUAACUGCUGCCCUUCCCGGUGCCGGGUCCUGGAGGGCUGCCUGCCUGGGCACCAUGAGUAGCCGUUUCUCUCGGGGUCUCCCCACCUCCUGGCUAUGCUGCUAGGAAGUGGGGUGCAGGCCCCUCCUCUGGGGGCUAACCGGCCUCCUCUCUGUCCCUUCUCCUUCUGCCAGUCAUGCAGGGUGGCGGGAAGGAGGCCUCCUUUGGGCUGAGGGAAAUCCUCCUCCCUUCUUUCUGGCCGUGGGCGUUCUCGAUGCCCUCCUCCACCGUCCGCCCGGGGUGUGUGCUGUUGGAAACGAGGUCAGGCUGUUUCUUCCUCCUGCUCCACCGCUGUCUCCAGGCAAAGGGCACGGAGCCACGAGGCCUGCCCCGCAGGGCGGCCCCAGGAGCACAGUGCCAUGUCUGCAGGUCGAAACCACAACGUAGCAUUCCGGCCACACAGAUGACUGUCACAUUAGGAUGAAUCCAAGCCAAGAAGAAGAAAAAACAGAAGCCGUUUUGGUUGACGGGCCCCAUCGUAGCAGUUGGCAGUAGUCGGAACUCCACCGACGACACCUACCACCGCUGUUUUGGCUGCUGUGACAGCUUCGCCCUCCUCGCCUCGGAUAUUCCCAGAGCGGAGCACGCAGGGGAAGCUGGGAGGAGGCCUCCUGGAUGGAUAAGAGAACUGCGAUGCCGAAUGCGUUAGGGGUUUGCUCAGGUUCACACAGGCAGUGAGUGACAGAGCUGGGAUUCAGAUUCAGGACCAGGGAACCAGGCCGACCAAAAGGCCUGUGAGGAGAGACCUUAAGCGCAGGAAGCCGACGUGGAGAGCCAGACGUCGCUUUCCCUGUGUGCAGAACAAGCGCUUGGGGAGCCCAGCUGCCACGAAACAAGGUGGGGAUGCUGCGGUCAAGGGUCAGGGUUGCCAUGCCAAUCGUGGUCAGCAGAGUCUGGGUGUCCAGAGACAGAAAGGAAGAGAGAAAGAACUGCGCUUUCUGGGAAGGCAGAGUCAUCAGGCAGAUGGAAUUUCUGGUGGUCCCUUGACUCCUCCCAGUGACACAAUCUGAGAAGGCUGCACAGGGAGCGCACGGUUCCUGGGAUAUGCCACAAAACCUGGAACAAAGGAGUGUGUACCUGCCUUUCCCCAGUCACCCACUUGCCCACUCGCUCAUCCACGCGUCCCUCACGUGCCAGGCCCUGUUUUGGGUGCUGGGGCGAAGUCACAGGCAGGACAGACGUAGUCCUUGCCUUCAGGAGGCUUUUGUGCAAUGGUGUUCUGAAGAUAUGGAAAUAAAUGAGUCUCAAAUA
This is a long non-coding RNA of Lemur catta (Ring-tailed lemur), 3897 nucleotides long. RefSeq lists it as uncharacterized. Lineage: Eukaryota; Metazoa; Chordata; Mammalia; Primates; Lemuridae. The transcript is spliced from 9 exons. The record is from RefSeq and is a predicted model, not a curated record.